This 2121-nucleotide ribosomal RNA is filed under the name Escherichia coli. RNAcentral's name for it is "partial 23S ribosomal RNA". It matches the Rfam family "Bacterial large subunit ribosomal RNA", at positions 1 to 2136 of the family's 2925-position model. The record is from RNAcentral. Lineage: Bacteria; Pseudomonadati; Pseudomonadota; Gammaproteobacteria; Enterobacterales; Enterobacteriaceae.
GGGUUGUGAGGUUAAGCGACUAAGCGUACACGGUGGAUGCCCUGGCAGUCAGAGGCGAUGAAGGACGUGCUAAUCUGCGAUAAGCGUCGGUAAGGUGAUAUGAACCGUUAUAACCGGCGAUUUCCGAAUGGGGAAACCCAGUGUGUUUCGACACACUAUCAUUAACUGAAUCCAUAGGUUAAUGAGGCGAACCGGGGGAACUGAAACAUCUAAGUACCCCGAGGAAAAGAAAUCAACCGAGAUUCCCCCAGUAGCGGCGAGCGAACGGGGAGCAGCCCAGAGCCUGAAUCAGUGUGUGUGUUAGUGGAAGCGUCUGGAAAGGCGCGCGAUACAGGGUGACAGCCCCGUACACAAAAAUGCACAUGCUGUGAGCUCGAUGAGUAGGGCGGGACACGUGGUAUCCUGUCUGAAUAUGGGGGGACCAUCCUCCAAGGCUAAAUACUCCUGACUGACCGAUAGUGAACCAGUACCGUGAGGGAAAGGCGAAAAGAACCCCGGCGAGGGGAGUGAAAAAGAACCUGAAACCGUGUACGUACAAGCAGUGGGAGCACGCUUAGGCGUGUGACUGCGUACCUUUUGUAUAAUGGGUCAGCGACUUAUAUUCUGUAGCAAGGUUAACCGAAUAGGGGAGCCGAAGGGAAACCGAGUCUUAACUGGGCGUUAAGUUGCAGGGUAUAGACCCGAAACCCGGUGAUCUAGCCAUGGGCAGGUUGAAGGUUGGGUAACACUAACUGGAGGACCGAACCGACUAAUGUUGAAAAAUUAGCGGAUGACUUGUGGCUGGGGGUGAAAGGCCAAUCAAACCGGGAGAUAGCUGGUUCUCCCCGAAAGCUAUUUAGGUAGCGCCUCGUGAAUUCAUCUCCGGGGGUAGAGCACUGUUUCGGCAAGGGGGUCAUCCCGACUUACCAACCCGAUGCAAACUGCGAAUACCGGAGAAUGUUAUCACGGGAGACACACGGCGGGUGCUAACGUCCGUCGUGAAGAGGGAAACAACCCAGACCGCCAGCUAAGGUCCCAAAGUCAUGGUUAAGUGGGAAACGAUGUGGGAAGGCCCAGACAGCCAGGAUGUUGGCUUAGAAGCAGCCAUCAUUUAAAGAAAGCGUAAUAGCUCACUGGUCGAGUCGGCCUGCGCGGAAGAUGUAACGGGGCUAAACCAUGCACCGAAGCUGCGGCAGCGACGCUUAUGCGUUGUUGGGUAGGGGAGCGUUCUGUAAGCCUGUGAAGGUGUGCUGUGAGGCAUGCUGGAGGUAUCAGAAGUGCGAAUGCUGACAUAAGUAACGAUAAAGCGGGUGAAAAGCCCGCUCGCCGGAAGACCAAGGGUUCCUGUCCAACGUUAAUCGGGGCAGGGUGAGUCGACCCCUAAGGCGAGGCCGAAAGGCGUAGUCGAUGGGAAACAGGUUAAUAUUCCUGUACUUGGUGUUACUGCGAAGGGGGGACGGAGAAGGCUAUGUUGGCCGGGCGACGGUUGUCCCGGUUUAAGCGUGUAGGCUGGUUUUCCAGGCAAAUCCGGAAAAUCAAGGCUGAGGCGUGAUGACGAGGCACUACGGUGCUGAAGCAACAAAUGCCCUGCUUCCAGGAAAAGCCUCUAAGCAUCAGGUAACAUCAAAUCGUACCCCAAACCGACACAGGUGGUCAGGUAGAGAAUACCAAGGCGCUUGAGAGAACUCGGGUGAAGGAACUAGGCAAAAUGGUGCCGUAACUUCGGGAGAAGGCACGCUGAUAUGUAGGUGAAGUCCCUCGCGGAUGGAGCUGAAAUCAGUCGAAGAUACCAGCUGGCUGCAACUGUUUAUUAAAAACACAGCACUGUGCAAACACGAAAGUGGACGUAUACGGUGUGACGCCUGCCCGGUGCCGGAAGGUUAAUUGAUGGGGUUAGCGGUAACGCGAAGCUCUUGAUCGAAGCCCCGGUAAACGGCGGCCGUAACUAUAACGGUCCUAAGGUAGCGAAAUUCCUUGUCGGGUAAGUUCCGACCUGCACGAAUGGCGUAAUGAUGGCCAGGCUGUCUCCACCCGAGACUCAGUGAAAUUGAACUCGCUGUGAAGAUGCAGUGUACCCGCGGCAAGACGGAAAGACCCCGUGAACCUUUACUAUAGCUUGACACUGAACAUUGAGCCUUGAUG